AUCUAAAUAGUUUAAGAGGAAAAUAUUGGUUUGUGGUGCCGAUGAUAUAGAGUUGUAUUUUAGAUU
This 66-nucleotide transfer RNA is filed under the name Agnathotermes crassinasus. Its description in RNAcentral is "tRNA-His". It matches the Rfam family "tRNA". From Rfam's summary of the family: Transfer RNA (tRNA) molecules are approximately 80 nucleotides in length. Lineage: Eukaryota; Metazoa; Arthropoda; Insecta; Blattodea; Termitidae. The record is from RNAcentral.